CGCACAUUGCGCCCCUUGGUAUUCCGAGGGGCAUGCCUGUUCGAGCGUCGUUUAAACGAUCAAGCACCGCUUGGUAUUGGGUGCAGGUCCGGAAGGACCCUCCCGUAACCCGUUGGGCGGGACCGUCCGGCUCCAAGCGUAGCAGAAUAUCUUCCGCUUCGGGGCUCCGGCGGCCUCUGCCCGGGAAGCACAUUCAGAGUUUGACCUCGGAUCAGGUAGGGAUACCCGCUGAACUUAA
This 238-nucleotide unclassified non-coding RNA is filed under the name Patellariales sp. RNAcentral describes it as "partial contains 5.8S ribosomal RNA, internal transcribed spacer 2, and large subunit ribosomal RNA". Lineage: Eukaryota; Fungi; Ascomycota; Dothideomycetes; Patellariales. The record is from RNAcentral.